This 24-nucleotide non-coding RNA is filed under the name Arabidopsis thaliana (thale cress). Lineage: Eukaryota; Viridiplantae; Streptophyta; Magnoliopsida; Brassicales; Brassicaceae. The record is from RNAcentral.
AAGGGCUGGUGUAUCAUCCCCAAU